GAUGAACGCUGGCGGCGUGCCUAAUACAUGCAAGUCGAGCGAACAGACGAUGAGCUUGCUCCCCUGACGUUAGCGGCGGACGGGUGAGUAACACGUGGAUAACCUACCUAUAAGACUGGGAUAACUUCGGGAAACCGGUGCUAAUACCGGAUAAUAUAUUGAACCGCAUGGUUCAAUAGUGAAAGACGGUUUUGCUGUCACUUAUAGAUGGAUCCGCGCCGCAUUGUCUAGUUGGUAAGGUAACGGCUUACCAAGGCGACGAUGCUUAGCCGACCUGAGGGGGUGAUCGGCCCACCUGGAACUGGGGAACGGUCCAAGCUCCUAAGGGAGGCAGCAGUAGGGAAACUUCCGCAAUGGGCGGAAGCCUGACGGAGCAACGCCGCGUUAGGGAUGAAGGUCUUCGGAGCGUAAAACUCUGUUAUUAGGGAAGAACAAAUGUGUAAGUAACUAUGCACGUCUUGACGGUACCUAAUCAGAAAGCCACGGCUAACUACGUG
This 497-nucleotide ribosomal RNA is filed under the name uncultured bacterium. RNAcentral describes it as "partial 16S ribosomal RNA". It matches the Rfam family "Bacterial small subunit ribosomal RNA", at positions 28 to 507 of the family's 1533-position model. The record is from RNAcentral.